UGAGUAACCUGCCCUGGACUUUGGGAUAACCCUCGGAAACGGGGCUAAUACCGGAUAUGACGGCUCACCGCAUGGUGUGGUUGUGGAAAGUUUUUCGGUCUGGGAUGGGCUCGCGGCCUAUCAGCUUGUUGGUAGGGUGAUGGCCCACCAAGGCGACGACGGGUAGCCGGCCUGAGAGGGUGACCGGCCACACUGGGACUGAGACACGGUCCAGACUCCUACGGGAGCA
RNAcentral lists this ribosomal RNA (229 nucleotides) under uncultured bacterium. RNAcentral's name for it is "partial 16S ribosomal RNA". It matches the Rfam family "Bacterial small subunit ribosomal RNA", at positions 118 to 347 of the family's 1533-position model. The record is from RNAcentral.